CCUACGGGAGGCAGCAGUCGGGAAUAUUUGGCAAUGGAGGAAACUCUGACCCAGCAAUACCGCGUGAAGGAUGAAGGUUUUCGGAUUGUAAACUUCUGUUAUAAAGGAAGAAAAAAACGACGGUACUUUAUAAGUAAGCCCCGGCAAACUAUGUGCCAGCAGCCGCGGUGAUACGUAGGGGGCAAGCGUUGUCCGGAAUGACUGGGUGUAAAGGGGGUGUAGGUGGUUUAUUAAGUUAGAAGUGAAAGCCCGGAGCUCAACUUCGGAACUGUCUUUAAAACUGGUUGGCUUGAGUGUAGGAGAGGUUAGUGGAACUCCUGGUGUAGCGGUGGAAUGCGUAGAUAUUAGGAAGAACAUCAGAGGCGAAGGCGACUAACUGGAACGUUACUGACGCUGAAACACGAAAGCGUGGGGAGCAAACAGGAUUAGAUACCCUAGUAGUC
Molecule: ribosomal RNA, 443 nt
Filed under: uncultured bacterium
Lineage: Bacteria
Description: partial 16S ribosomal RNA
Rfam family: Bacterial small subunit ribosomal RNA
Source: RNAcentral